RNAcentral lists this ribosomal RNA (208 nucleotides) under uncultured Sebacinales. Its description in RNAcentral is "partial 18S ribosomal RNA". The record is from RNAcentral. Lineage: Eukaryota; Fungi; Basidiomycota; Agaricomycetes; Sebacinales.
CCAGGCUAACAACCUUGGGUAUGGUAACAGCAUGUGGAAUAGGGAGAAUCUGCAGCCAAGCCCCACUUCUUGGGGUGCAGUUCACAGGCCAAAUGGUAGUGGGCACUCUGGUGCUUAAGAUAUGGUCGAGUCCCAAUUGCAAAGUUGGGUACAAGUACUCUGAUUGAUUACAUAGUUGUAAAUGCAAAUGUUCCGUAGGUGAACCUGC